UACGUAGGGUGCAAGCGUUGUCCGGAAUUAUUGGGCGUAAAGAGCUUGUAGGCGGUUUGUCGCGUCUGCUGUGAAAUUUCGGGGCUCAACCCCGAACUUGCAGUGGGUACGGGCAGACUAGAGUGUGGUAGGGGAGACUGGAAUUCCUGGUGUAGCGGUGAAAUGCGCAGAUAUCAGGAGGAACACCAAUGGCGAAGGCAGCUCUCUGGGACGGUACUGACGCUGAGACGCGAAAGCGUGGGGAGCGAACAGG
This 253-nucleotide ribosomal RNA is filed under the name uncultured bacterium. Its description in RNAcentral is "partial 16S ribosomal RNA". It matches the Rfam family "Bacterial small subunit ribosomal RNA", at positions 524 to 776 of the family's 1533-position model. The record is from RNAcentral.